This 352-nucleotide long non-coding RNA is filed under the name Gossypium barbadense (sea-island cotton). RNAcentral describes it as "long non-coding RNA (GBAR_LNC001789)". The record is from RNAcentral. Lineage: Eukaryota; Viridiplantae; Streptophyta; Magnoliopsida; Malvales; Malvaceae.
AAAAUUGAUUGGAGCAAAGCACCAUUUUUGGCUUAUUACAAGGAUUUUGACAUUGAAGGGUGUCCAGUUCCAGGGCCAGCAAAUUGUGCUAGUAACCCUAGGAACUGGUGGGAAGGUACUGCUUAUCAAGCUCUUAAUGCCAUGGAAGCUAGGAGAUACAGGUGGGUUCGGAUGAACCACAUGAUCUACGAUUACUGCACCGACAAGUCUCGGUACCCGGUCACCCCACCGGAGUGCAUGGCAGGUAUAUGAAGUACUAUCAAGAGUUCCCAUUAUUCCAUAUCCAACUGAACUGUCCAGAAUAUUUGAUAUACCAAUAUGUUACUUGUCAUAUAUACUUUGAUGUAUAUGC